AGUGAACGCUGGCGGUAGGCCUAACACAUGCAAGUCGAACGGCAGCACAGUAUGAGCUUGCUCUUACGGGUGGCGAGUGGCGGACGGGUGAGGAAUACAUCGGAAUCUACUUUUUCGUGGGGGAUAACGUAGGGAAACUUAUGCUACUACCGCAUAAGACCUAAGGGUGAAAGCAGGGGAUCUUCGGACCUUGCCCGCAUUAAUGAGCCGACGUCGGAUUAGUUAGUUGGUGGGUUAAAGGCCCACCAAGGCGACCAACCGUAGCUGGUCUGCAGGGAUGUUCAGCCACACGGGAACGGAGACACGGUCCAGACUCCUAGGGAGGGAGGCGGAGGGGAAUAUUGGACAUGGGGCGCAAUCCGGAUCCAGCCAUACGGCGUGGGUGAAGAAGUCCUUCGAGUGUUAAAGCCCUUUUGUUGGGAAAGAAAAGCAGCAGGUUAAUACCCCGCUGUUCUGACGGUACCCAAAGAAUAAGCACCGGCUAACUUCGUG
RNAcentral lists this ribosomal RNA (492 nucleotides) under uncultured bacterium. Its description in RNAcentral is "partial 16S ribosomal RNA". It matches the Rfam family "Bacterial small subunit ribosomal RNA", at positions 29 to 507 of the family's 1533-position model. The record is from RNAcentral.